GAUGAACGCUGGCGGCGUGCCUAAUACAUGCAAGUCGAGCGAACGGACGAGAAGCUUGCUUCUCUGAUGUUAGCGGCGGACGGGUGAGUAACACGUGGAUAACCUUCCUAUAAGACUGGGAUAACUUCGGGAAACCGGAGCUAAUACCGGAUAAUAUUUUGAACCGCAUGGUUCAAAAGUGAAAGACGGUCUUGCUGUCACUUAUAGAUGGAUCCGCGCUGCAUUAGCUAGUUGGUAAGGUAACGGCUUACCAAGGCAACGAUGCAUAGCCGACCUGAGAGGGUGAUCGGCCACACUGGAACUGAGACACGGUCCAGACUCCUACGGGAGGCAGCAGUAGGGAAUCUUCCGCAAUGGGCGAAAGCCUGACGGAGCAACGCCGCGUGAGUGAUGAAGGUCUUCGGAUCGUAAAACUCUGUUAUUAGGGAAGAACAUAUGUGCAAGUAACUGUGCACAUCUUGACGGUACCUAAUCAGAAAGCCACGGCUAACUACGUG
Molecule: ribosomal RNA, 497 nt
Filed under: uncultured bacterium
Lineage: Bacteria
Description: partial 16S ribosomal RNA
Rfam family: Bacterial small subunit ribosomal RNA
Source: RNAcentral